RNAcentral lists this long non-coding RNA (1078 nucleotides) under Homo sapiens (human). RNAcentral's name for it is "long non-coding RNA NONHSAT173563.1". Lineage: Eukaryota; Metazoa; Chordata; Mammalia; Primates; Hominidae. The record is from RNAcentral.
GCUGGGUGAUGCGGUCAACCAUCCGACUCCCAUGGCAGCUGCAGCAAAUGAGGUGUACAAAAGAGCCAAGGCGCUGGACCAGUCUGACAACGAUAUGUCCGCCGUGUACCGAGCCUACAUACACUAAGCUGUCGACACCCCGCCCUCACCCCUCCAAUCCCCCCUCUGACCCCCUCUUCCUCACAUGGGGUCGGGGGCCUGGGAGUUCAUUCUGGACCAGCCCACCUAUCUCCAUUUCCUUUUAUACAGACUUUGAGACUUGCCAUCAGCACAGCACACAGCAGCACCCUUCCCCUGAGGCCGGUGGGGAGGGGACAAGUGUCAGCAGGAUUGGCGUGUGGGAAAGCUCUUGAGCUGGGCACUGGCCCCCCGGACGAGGUGGCUGUGUGUUCACACACACACACACACACACACACACACACACACACAGGCUCUCGCCCCAGGAUAGAAGCUGCCCAGAAACUGCUGCCUGGCUUUUUUUCUUCCGAGCUUGUCUUAUCUCAAACCCCUUCCAGUCAAGGAACUAGAAUCAGCAACGAGAGUUGGAAGCCUUCCCACAGCUUCCCCCAGAGCGAAGAGGCUGUAGUCAUGUCCCCAUCCCCCACUGGAUUCCCUACAAGGAGAGGCCUUGGGCCCAGAUGAGCCAGUACAGACUCCAGACAGAGGGGCCCUUGGGGCCCUCCAACCUCAGGUGAUGAGCUGAGAAAGAUGUUCACGUCUAAGCGUCCAGUGUGCACCCAGCGCUCCAUAGACGCCUUUGUGAACUGAAAAGAGACUGGCAGAGUCCCGAGAAGAUGGGGCCCUGGCUUUCCAGGGAGUGCAGCAAGCAGCCGGCCUGCAGACCCAGCCUGACCAACGAUGAGCAUUUCUUAGGCUCAGCUCUUGAUACGGAAACGAGUGUCUUCACUCCAGCCAGCAUCAUGGUCUUCGGUGCUUCCCGGGCCCGGGGUCUGUCGGGAGGGAAGAGAACUGGGCCUGACCUACCUGAACUGACUGGCCCUCCGAGGUGGGUCUGGGACAUCCUAGAGGCCCUACAUUUGUCCUUGGAUAGGGGACCGGGGGGGGCUUGGAAUGUUGC